RNAcentral lists this ribosomal RNA (249 nucleotides) under uncultured prokaryote. RNAcentral describes it as "partial 16S ribosomal RNA". It matches the Rfam family "Bacterial small subunit ribosomal RNA", at positions 524 to 772 of the family's 1533-position model. The record is from RNAcentral.
UACGGAGGAUGCGAGCGUUAUCCGGAUUUAUUGGGUUUAAAGGGUGCGUAGGCGGCCGAGUAAGUCAGCGGUGAAAUUUUGCAGCUUAACUGUAACAGUGCCGUUGAUACUGCAUGGCUAGGAUUUGGUUGCUGUGGGUGGAAUGUGUGGUGUAGUGGUGAAAUGCUUAGAUAUCACACAGAAUAUCAAUUGCGAAGGCAGCUCACAAAGCCAAGAUUGACGCUGAGGCACGAAAGUGUGGGGAUCAAA